Molecule: ribosomal RNA, 469 nt
Filed under: uncultured bacterium
Lineage: Bacteria
Description: partial 16S ribosomal RNA
Rfam family: Bacterial small subunit ribosomal RNA
Source: RNAcentral
GACGAACGCUGGCGGCGUGCUUAACACAUGCAAGUCGAACGGAAAGGCCCUGCUUUUGUGGGGUGCUCGAGUGGCGAACGGGUGAGUAACACGUGAGUAACCUGCCCUUGACUUUGGGAUAACUUCAGGAAACUGGGGCUAAUACCGGAUAGGAGCUCCUGCUGCAUGGUGGGGGUUGGAAAGUUUCGGCGGUUGGGGAUGGACUCGCGGCUUAUCAGCUUGUUGGUGGGGUAGUGGCUUACCAAGGCUUUGACGGGUAGCCGGCCUGAGAGGGUGACCGGCCACAUUGGGACUGAGAUACGGCCCAGACUCCUACGGGAGGCAGCAGUGGGGAAUAAUGCACAAUGGGCGGAAGCCUGAUGCAGCAACGCCGCGUGCGGGAUGACGGCCUUCGGGUUGUAAACCGCUUUCGCCUGUGACGAAGCGUGAGUGACGGUAAUGGGUAAAGAAGCACCGGCUAACUACGUGC